AGCCUCAAUAAAAAGUAAAUUUAAGUACAAGAAAGAAUAACAGGCCCAUGUUCUCUCUUCUAAAGUGGAGAAUAUAUUUAUACUUACACUACACAUAUACAAGGAAAAGAUUAGAAAUGCAAAGGUAAAGCCAAAGUGCUUCACAUACCGUCAUUCAUACGGAGAAGUGAAGUUACGGCUUUAUGGCAACAUCAAGAAGGAAACUAAUAAAUGUUCCAUUUCUGAAGAGAUUAUUGGAUCCUACAAAGAGACAGGAACGAAAGGUUAUAAUAUAAAUAGUAAUUCUUUAUAUGAGCAUAUAGUCUGUCCAAAGAUCUAUGUAUAAUGAUGAAAUUGAGAAUGUCAAUUUAAGGGCAAGCAAUUACAGUUAAUCUCAUGUCAUAGUUGUAACUCAUAUUACCAUCUGGUCAGGAAUUAAAGUGGUA
RNAcentral lists this long non-coding RNA (425 nucleotides) under Olea europaea (common olive). RNAcentral's name for it is "long non-coding RNA (OEUR_LNC004433)". The record is from RNAcentral. Lineage: Eukaryota; Viridiplantae; Streptophyta; Magnoliopsida; Lamiales; Oleaceae.